Molecule: ribosomal RNA, 497 nt
Filed under: uncultured bacterium
Lineage: Bacteria
Description: partial 16S ribosomal RNA
Rfam family: Bacterial small subunit ribosomal RNA
Source: RNAcentral
GAUGAACGCUGGCGGCGUGCCUAAUACAUGCAAGUCGAGCGAACAGAUGAGGAGCUUGCUCCUCUGACGUUAGCGGCGGACGGGUGAGUAACACGUGGAUAACCUACCUAUAAGACUGGGAUAACUUCGGGAAACCGGAGCUAAUACCGGAUAAUAUAUUGAACCGCAUGGUUCAAUAGUGAAAGACGGUUUUGCUGUCACUUAUAGAUGGAUCCGCGCCGCAUUAGCUAGUUGGUAAGGUAACGGCUUACCAAGGCAACGAUGCGUAGCCGACCUGAGAGGGUGAUCGGCCAAACUGGAAAUGAGAAACGGUCCAGAAUCCUAAGGGAGGGAGCAGUAGGGAAUCUUCCGCAAUUGGCGAAAGCCUGACGGAGCAAAGCCGCGUGAGUGAUGAAGGUCUUCGGAUCGUAAAACUCUUUUAUUAGGGAAGAACAAAUGUGUAAGUAACUAUGCACGUCUUGACGGUAACUAAUCAGAAAGCCAAGGCUAAAUACGUG